RNAcentral lists this long non-coding RNA (428 nucleotides) under Olea europaea subsp. europaea. The record is from RNAcentral. Lineage: Eukaryota; Viridiplantae; Streptophyta; Magnoliopsida; Lamiales; Oleaceae.
AAAUUUUGGGAGUUUAAAGUGUAUGUCACUUUUUUAAAAGAGUUAAUACAUAACAAUUUUAAAUAGUAUCGUGUCAAUUUUCAUCAAAAAAUAAUAUAUCAUGUCACUUUUGAGUACAACUAUUGCCAUAAAUAUUCUUCAUAGUUUUACUUUAAAAUCUUGCAAGAACAGUGCAAUAUUGUUGUCAUAAAGUGCCCAACGUAAGUUUUUAUGAUUAUUGCAUAAAGAAUAUCAUGAAUAUGGAGAGGAAUUUUAGAGAGAAGAGAGAUGAAUGUAGAGAGAGGUCAUUAUAUUUAGGGUAUAUAGUAUGGUUUCCUCAUAAUAAUGUGUUGUUGAAUGUGGCUCCUCCUGCGUGUAAUACAUAUAUAUAUGAUUAAAGGGAAAAUUUCAUAAGUGAGAGAUUAAUCAUAUUACAUUUCAAAAACAAG